Phrynosoma platyrhinos (Desert horned lizard) is the source of this 71-nucleotide non-coding RNA. The record is from the annotation of a GenBank genome assembly. NCBI's taxonomy places the organism in Eukaryota, Metazoa, Chordata, Lepidosauria, Squamata, Phrynosomatidae.
GCCACUGUGGUGUAGUGGUUUAGUAUUGGGCUGUGACUCUGGAGGGCAGGGUUCGAUCCCCUGCUCAGUCA